AGAGUUUGAUCCUGGCUCAGGAUGAACGCUGGCGGUCUGCUUAACACAUGCAAGUCGAACGGAGUAGAAAUACUUAGUGGCGGACGGGUGAGUAACGCGUGAGAAUCUGCCUUCAGGACGGAGACAACAGUUGGAAACGACUGCUAAGCCCCGAUGAACCGAAAGGGAAAAUAUUUAUAGCCUGAAGAUGAGCUCGCGUCCGAUUAGCUAGUUGGGGAGUAAAAGCCCACCAAGGCGACGAUCGGUAGCUGGUCUGAGAGGACGAUCAGCCACACUGGGACUGAGACACGGCCCAGACUCCUACGGGAGGCAGCAGUGGGGAAUUUUCCGCAAUGGGCGAAAGCCUGACGGAGCAAGACCGCGUGGGGGAAGAAGGCUCUUGGGUUGUAAACCCCUUUUCUCUGGGAAGAAAGUUGUGAAAGCAACCUGACGGUACCAGAGGAAUCAGCAUCGGCUACUCCGUGCCAGCAGCCGCGGUAAGACGGAGGAUGCAAGCGUUAUCCGGAAUGAUUGGGCGUAAACGUCCGCAGGUGGCAGUUCAAGUCUGCUGUCAAAGACCGGGGCUUAACUUCGGAAAGGCAGUGGAAACUGAACAGCUAGAGUAUGGUAGGGGCAGAGGGAAUUCCUGGUGUAGCGGUGAAAUGCGUAGAGAUCAGGAAGAACAUCGGUGGCGAAGGNNCUCUGCUAGACCAUAACUGACACUCAGGGACGAAAGCUAGGGGAGCGAAUGGGAUUAGAUACCCUAGUAGUCC
RNAcentral lists this ribosomal RNA (752 nucleotides) under uncultured bacterium. Its description in RNAcentral is "bacterial SSU rRNA". It matches the Rfam family "Bacterial small subunit ribosomal RNA", at positions 8 to 796 of the family's 1533-position model. The record is from RNAcentral.